Molecule: long non-coding RNA, 13021 nt
Filed under: Hordeum vulgare
Lineage: Eukaryota; Viridiplantae; Streptophyta; Magnoliopsida; Poales; Poaceae
Description: long non-coding RNA (HVUL_LNC012956)
Source: RNAcentral
CACCACGGCCUGCAUACAACUAGAAACCCAUUACUAGCGCCAGGAUGCAGGCCCGUAGUAGGCCCAAUAGGCCCACAAGCACAUAGAGUGAUUUUAGGCCUGUAAGCCUACAGUAGAGAGGAGCUCGAAGUGGUUGGUUCGGCAGGGAUUAUAAACCACUCCGAGCCCCUCUCGGCUAGAGAGGUGGGACUAAACAUAGCACCGCACCACGCUAGUGCAAGGCCUUUGGUCCCGGUUGGUGGCACCAACACGGACUAAAGGGGGGCACUGACCCCGCCGACGCCGUCACCGCCCUCUGCCCCGUCGACACCGUCGUCGCCGUCGUCGCCCCUGCCCCGACCAAGCCGCCGUCCUCUACACCGACCACGCCAUCGUCCUCUACACCGACGUCGCACACCCCCGACCCGCCCCAUCGACGUCGUCGUCGCCCCUGCCCCUAUCUUUUACUUCCCCUCCGGUGCCUACUCCUCCGCCGCCGGCGUGUUCGAGGACGAGUGGCUCGCCGUGGUGGACAAGCCCGCUGGCGUCUACUGCGAGGCCCUCCUCUCUGCCCUCCCUUGCUCCACCGCCUCCUCAGGUACUUCAAAAAGUUUAGGUAGAUCGUGCCAUUAGCUUGCAAUGGCACAGCAAAAUCCUGAGAUACUCUCGGGGUAGUAAAUUUCAAGAGUAGUUCAUGCUGAUGAAACGCAGAUUUGGUUGCUUUCUGCUUUGUGUAGUGUGUACCACUGCAGUUUUUUUGGCGCAGAGGGUGGAUGUGCUAGCCGGAGUGUCUAGCCAUGGCAAGGGCUUGGCGGUUGUCGAGCCUAGCAGCAUUUUCUUUUCUUUCCGAACAAUUUAAUAAUUUUAUGAACUAUGUGUAGUUAUGACUGGAAAUAUUUUUCUUUUCGAUGAAAGAAAAACCAUAUAUCCUUGGAAGCAAGCGUCUAGUCAAUGUAAACAAGAUCGUGAAGCUUAUGAAACAUAUGGACUAUUUUGUUAUUGACGGAAGCAUGUCUGAAGCAGCUUUCUAGUCAUCUAGUUGCCUAGUGGAUGGAAGCAAGAUCGAGAUGCUGUUGUAACAUGUGAAAUAAUUUUAUUUCUUGAUGAAGGCGGUACGAAGCAAUUCUCUAGCCGUCUAGUCGACCGAUGCAAUAUCGUGAUGCUUUUGAAACAAAAUAUCACGUUGGUUACACAAGGCAUACAUUUUAAAUAAAACUAAGCAGAUUUCAUGCAUGAGAUAACCAAAUUCUUCAAUGAACGGAAACAUAUUUUUUAAUUUUUAUAGCAUGAACGGAAAUGUGAAUAAUAUAAUUACGAACAAAGGUGGAAUCAUGUAUUAGUUCCGUUAUAUAUAUAGCUAGGAAGAAGAAAAAGUUUUAUAUAUGCAAAAGUUACAUUUUUAGAAAAGUAUUAUAUAUCUAGCUAGGAAGAUAAGGAAGAAGAAGAAAAAGAAUGAGAGGAAAAAGGAAAAUAAGAAGAGGAAGAAAGGAGAAGAAGAGAAGAGGAAGAAGAGGAGAAAUAAAUAAGAAGAGUAAAAAAUAAGAAAAAUAAGAGGACAAGAAGAAAGGAAUAGAGAAGAAGAAGAAAAAAAUAAAAUAUUUUCUAUUUUUUUAUUCUUCUUCUCCAUUCCUUUCUUCUUCUCCUUUUAUUUCUUUUUUUUUCUUCGAUCGCUUCUCUUCUAUUCCUUUCUUCUUCUCCUCUUUUUAUUUCUUCUUUUGUCUUCUUAUUUUUUAUCGGGUAUGUCGUUAUCGAUAUACCCCCUCCCGAUAACCUUAACACGAGGGGGGCUCGAUAUACCCCCCUCCCCGAUAACAUUAUUUUCCCAUGUAUGUAUGUCGUCGUUGUGGAUAUAACCCCCCCUGGAUAACUUCGACAUCGGGGGCGGUCAAUAUAUAUACCCCCUCUCGACUGUGAUAACUUAUACCACGGGAGCACCCCCCCCCCCCNNNNNNNNNNNNNNNNNNNNNNNNNNNNNNNNNNNNNNNNNNNNNNNNNNNNNNNACCCCCCCCCCCGACCCUCUCGCUCGACCAAAACUCCCGAGGACACCCAAACCCUAGAAAAAAUGAUGUUGGUCUCCUACCCCCUCACGCUGCACCCCUACCCGACAAACUCUCUCGAGGACACCCAAAUUUACCAAGUUAAAAGAGCGUUGUCGUCGAGGCCACCCCAAACCCUUGAAGCGUUGCGGAGGCCACCCCAAACCCUAGAGAAGCAGCGUCGUUGCCACUAAUAUGAUUCUUUAUUGUGAUUAGCUAGCUAGUUCUACGUUUGCCACUAAUAUAUCCAUCUAUCAUGUUUGAAUAAUAAUUGCCAUGUUGUAAAUAUUUGCAGAAACUAUGGAGCACCCCCGAGACGAAGCAACAGAAGAGAUGUUGGGGGAAAUAAUCGCAAAAGGAAGUGAUGUCGUCUUGUCGUUUCUCAACGACACCGAUGGUCUGGAAGGACAGGGUGAAGAAGAAGGCUAUGAUUAUGAUGGCUCCGGUGACCCAUUAAUGCUGGUACAAGAAGAAGGCUAUGAUUAUGAUGGCUCCGGUGACCGAAUCGAGUGCGGCCAGGUAUAUAUAUUAGUUAAGCAUGUGCUGACUAGCUAAUUGAUGCAUUCAUUAUUUUCGUAUGUACACAUAUUAAUUAACUCUCGUCUUCCUUCUUUUCCUAGCCCUCCGGAUUGAGCACAAAUUCGAUAAAGAGACGAGGCCCGAAGAAAAAGUUGCGCUCGGAUAAAAGGUUUGAGAUCAUAGCAAUCGCGCGUGAUGGCAAGCUGAUUUAACCAUACCGGACAAUGGAAGCAUUUUCUAAUCAGUGCGGGGUUCUUGUUAGGGACAAGAUCCCGAUUAGUACCCAGCGAUGGUUAAAGCCUAAGAAGGAAGACCCUGAGGUGUCUUAUGUCUCCGAUAGCAGAAAGAAGAUCUUUGGACAAUGCUUAAGACAAAUUUCACCCUACCGCCAGAGGAGGAUCCGGAGAAGCCAGUUAUAGAGCAAUUGAUCAAGUCUCAUGCUCUUAAGAACUAUUCAGGAGGUGGAAGAAUGAGCUGAAAACGUUUGUCGACAAAGAAAUUACACCAGAAUUCACCGGCCGGUUUGAGAAGAUCAGAUAUCACUGGCCCGCAUUUGUGGCCCACAAGACAUCGGAAAAGAGUAAGAAGAUGUCAACAACAAACAAGAAAAAUGUUGCAAAGAAGAAGCAUCACCAUCGCAUGGGGCCAGGUGGCUACCUCAAAGCCCGACCAUUGUGGGACAAGGCUGAGAAUGACCUGAUUGCUAAAGGGGUCGAACCAGAGACAUUGAACUGGCCAGACCGUUGCCGUAAUUGGUUCUUCGGGGUUGGCAGAACCUUGGACCAUAUAUCAGGGAAGUGCGUUUGGACGGAAGAGCAACUGUGAAUACCCGUCACGAGGCUUAAGGAGUAUAUCGAGAAAGCGCAGCAAGGGAUGUUCGUUCCACACACAGAGAAGGACGAGCUCACAAUGGCCCUCGGGAAUCCUGAGCACCCUGGACGGACACGAGGCAUGCCAGGCUCCGUUCCGUGGAAGGUUGGGUUUCCGGACGUAGGGGGUUACAAAUGCGAGGAGAGGAGGAAGAAAGAGGAGCAUACCAACUGCAGGCGCUGCAUGAAAGGGUACAAGGGCUAGAGGAACGAGAAGGAGAUCGCAGCAAAUGACCUGCCGAAGCUUCCCUUGAAGCUACCCCGCCAUCUCAGCGGAGAAGCAGCAUGGCUUCCACCGAGCAGACUCAGCAGCUGGAGCCUGUCUUCACGGCUCUUGCUAGCUACCUCGUGGAUGCUAUCACGGAGUCUCAACAUUGCCACCUUAUGGCGCGAUGGGUGACAUUGAAAGUCAAGGCGGCUGUUGGAGCUAUUUUACCUACUGAACCAGGCACAACCUACCACGGCCGGUCGAUUCCAGAAGGAUAUGCUAGGGUGAUGGUGGAUCAAAUAACGAACGGAUUUGAGGACCCUCAGCUUGACCACCCUACGGGUGAAGGGGAGAUUCGGUUGGGUUCUUCUCUAAAGACUUCAUGCCUAUGGCGGAAGGAGCUCAUCAACCUUCCGAACUGGACGCCUCCGCCUCCUCCUCCUCCUCCUCCGGCGAGUUAGGUCACUCCGCCUCCUCCUUCGGCGAGUGAUCAGGGCACUCAGUCUCCUUCUCCGACGCGUGGCGGCACUCCGCCUCCUUCUCCGCCUGCGCCGGCGAGCCCGAGCAGCCAGCCUCCUCCUUCUCCGCCUCGUCAACAAGGGCGGAAGAGACCCACCGUCGCUCCGGCUGCUCCGGCGCAUCGUCCUUCUCCUCCGCCUCGUAAGAAAUGAAAGACAGCCGCAGCCGCUCCGUCUGCUCCGGCGUCUAGCAGUACAACAAGAGGCAGACAAUGCAAAUACGGUCCUUCUCUGAAGACUCCAGAGAAGUUACCAUACGAGAGGAGCCAGGAGGAAAACACGAAGAUCGUGCAAGUCGAAGUGAACAACUUCUUUGAAAGGGUGAAAGCAAAGAAACAUCCACCUACGGAGGAGAAGAUAGAUCCGGUAAAAGUGAAGCGUACUCUGGCUGCCUUGAAGAAACCACCAAAGUCUCCGGCGAAAGCCAACUAUGAGCGCAUUAUUACAAAGUCAUUUAUCGAAGCGAAGUGGUUGGGAAAUACUGUCAGUGGUCAAAGGUUAGCAGAACGACGAGCUGGGAAAUAACUUGCCCAACUCGGCGAACAAGUGAACCAAUCGUUCCCCCGCUCAAGGUGUCUAGCGAUAUUUUCGCUAAUCAUCCGGGGAUCUUGUUGCCCGGUACUAAUCGUGGAGAUUACCUGCCCUACGAUGCACAUUUUGAUUUCUUGGAGGUGGACGAACACAAAUACGUGUACGGGAAGCCUCUCGUCAAAGAUGAAAGAUCUCUAACAACGAUGAUGCGAAGAUUCCAUGAUUGGUACAUGAAAACCUACAGAGACUCUGAGGCGAGUAAUAUUUUAACGCUCAGUGUUAGAGAGGAGCAUGACCUCUUUGGAAUUGAACUGUUGAAUGUUCCAUUUGAGGAGUUCUUACCAUUUUUCAAUCUAAAGGCCCUCGAUAAAUUAAUGAUCACUUGCUACUGCCUGUAAGUAGUACUACUUCUGUCAUUAAGUCUCUAUAUAUAGGUCAGCUCUUUCAUUGCAUGUAUUUUUAAUUAUCCUCACUGUAUUAUGCAGACUGAAGAUCGUCGAAUUAAAGAAAAGACAAAUCGGUGAUAUUGGGUUCAUUAACACAAAUCUCAUAGAUGCAUUUAUGGUUGAAUUUCAGGCCAAAGAUACCGAGGCCAACCUGCUACAAUUGUUUGUACUGAAUCAAAACAAAGCUAUAAUACUCUUCCCUUACGAAUUCCAGUGAGUGUUACUGUCUUGUGCAUAUUCAGUUUCCCUUAUUAGUCAAGGUUAUAGUAAUGUAAUUGAUGAGUUAUGCAUACGUGCGCAGCUGCCACUAUAUUAUCCUAGAGAUUAAUCUUGAGCAAGGAAUAGUAACCGUCUUAGACUCGAGACGAAAAGAUCCCAAGGAGUAUGCGGACAUGACUGAAAUUCUACAGAAGUAAGUUAAAUCGAUCAUUAUCGCACCAUAUCGGCAACUUUAUUCAUUUCCUCAUAUCAAGUAAUUGUUUUCUUUGUCUGGCAGGGUUUGGAAAAAAUUCACAUCAAAAACUCCGGCACUGCCGAAGAAGCUACAAUUUAGACACCCAAAAGUAAGUACUAUAGUAGCAUGUGCCAUGCAUCUCCUAGUGAUUCAAGCGCUAGUUUCAUCAAUACCAUUUAGCAUGCUUGCUAACUAUCAGUUUGAUUGACCUCAAUUUCUUGUAAAGUGGUUGUGGCAGGAACCAGGCAAUGAUUACUGUGGAUACUACAUUUGCGAGUCCAUCUGCCACACGACCUGUGAGCGGGGCUACUCUGACAAACAAUAUGAAGUGCGUAAAUAAUAAUAUUCACAAUUUUAUUUUAGUACCAUCAUUUGUGUUCAGUUUCAUUUAUUCAUAUAUAUGUAUUGACCCCCUUCUUCAAAUUAGAUAUUUCGGAUGCGGGAUGAACUCCUACCACCAGAUCGUAUGCGAGGAAUUCAAGAGGAAUUGGCGGCAUUCUUUCUUGACCAUGUGAUCGCUAAAGACGGAGAAUACCAUGUGGACCCUAAUCAGUUGGUUUUUAAUUAGGAGAUUAUAUUGUAAGAGAUAAUUAUAUUGUGUAUAUGUAGCCAGUAGCGCCGGAUAGACAUACGAGAACUUGUUGUUCGACCAAUCUCUCACAGAAGGAGAUGUGGUCGAUAUCACUUCUCUGUGUAUGCAUAUGUUCAUGACGAUCUUCUGUUUCCUUCAUUUGCUUACUAGCUAGCGUGUCUAGUCCUCUUUAUACGUAUAAUACGUAGCAUCGACCAAGCACAGAGAUAAGAGAGGACAUUUCUCUCUAUUAAUUAGCUAGCUAACACAAUAUAUGAAACACCUAUUAACCCCCCAAAACCCCCUNNNNNNNNNNNNNNNNNNNNNNNNNNNNNNNNNNNNCCAAAAAAAAAAAACAAAAACCCCAGCACCUGAAAAUGCUGACGCGUGGAUGCCUAUUGGUCCUGGUUGGUGCCACCAACUGGGACCAAGGGGCCUCCUGCCUGGGCUCGCCGCACCGGCCACGUGGAGGCCCAUCUGUCCCGGUUCAUGUAAGAACCGGGACUAAAGGCCAAAGGCAUUAGUAACGACCUUUUUGUCCUAGUUCCAAAACCGGGACAGAAGGCCCUUACGAAUCGGGACAAAAGGCCCUUCUUCUACUAGUGAUGACAUGGCCAUUAAGCACAAUCUCUGUCAGUAUUAGGUGGAGCCGGGCGGGACCCACAUUUUUCCAUGUCGGCGUGGGACCCAGAUGGAGGCUACUACGGUUAAAUAGUUUUCCCUUGCGCGCGCAUCCUCCCUCUCCUUCUUCUCCGGCGACGAAGCACCGCAACGCUGGUGAGCUCCGAUUUAGACAAGAAUAUUUACAAUCAUUCAAUCAAAAUUGAUCGAAUUCAAGCAACAUAGAUAGAGAUUUUAGCAAACAUAGCAGAUAGUUUGGUUUGAUUACACACGGAGUAGUAGCCGUAAUUUUAAUGGCGAGCUCAUCGGAGCAAAAGCCACACGGAGUACUUCGAUUACAUAACUCUACGCGGGUAUCUCGCAGCUCCUACCCCUAGUUAGAUCUCCAAAAUUGGGCUCACCUGAGCCCCAGGGGUGCGGCCCCGACGAGGCGGCGGCGCCGCUCAGUCGGAGUCGGAGGCGGAGGCAGCCCACCCCCUGUCGGCGCGGGAUUUCUCGAUGCCUUGCUGGAAGCGGAACUCGUCGAGCUCCUCUUGCAUCUGCCGGCGUGCAACGAGCUGUUGCGGAUCGUCCUCGGUGUGCUCCAUAAUCUCGGCGAUUACGCCGUCGAGGUCGCCGGCGUCGACGUAGUCUCCUGGCAGAAAGACGAGGUGUCUGGGCGUAGUGCCAAGCCCAGCUCCUCCCCCUCCCUCUUCGGAGGCGGCAUCGGUGCGCGUGCAAUGGAGGAGCUCCCCGCGCCACCCGCGCCAGAGGAGCUCCCAAGUGGUCGCCUCGCACCGCAGUCUCGUGCCGCCGCCGCCAUCUAGCGGUCGUACUCCUCCACCUCGUGCCGAUUGAACGCACGGAGUGGCACGAGCCCCCAUUUCAUGUACUUGCACGCGAUGUGCUUCCGAGCAGCGUCGGAAGCAACCAGCGCCGCCCGUUCCAGGUCAGAGUCGGGCGCCGACCGCUUCGCCCCUUUCUAAUCCUUGUCGGAGAGGUUUCCACCGCCGGAAUGGCCGUCGCGCGAGCUGAAAGAUCCGGGCCUCAUGAUCGUCGCACGGCAACGCUUGAUCUGCGGCGGCGGGCCUGGAUUGCGUGCGUUUGAUGGUCUCCGGCGGCGAGAGUGGCGCAUAUUUGGAUGUGUAAAUAGUUAGGGUACGACACAUUUUAUCGCAUAACUAGAGGAUUUAACUAGUAACACUAACAUCCCUGGCCCAUGAGUCAGAUUGACCGGUGAGCCCCCCACGUGAGCUCGAAUAAACCUUUUCUAUUUACUGAAUAAUCCAAAAAAUGUUAUAAACUUGUAAAUUCGAUAUCUUUUGCAAUGCAAUUCAUUUAAACGGAAUUGUCAACACAUCAGUACCCUAUACAUCAUCUUGCACACGCAAAAUCACUUGUCAAAUUCAUUUUCAUGUUUGAAACUUGUUUAAAUGUUGGUCAAACUUAGGUUUGACCCAAUUUGAAAUGAGCAUAAAAAAUCAAAAAAUUUGAAAACCAGUGCACAUGUUCUUAUUUUGUCAUAUACUAACAACUCAAAUUGAUUUGGCUGUUUUAGACAUGGUGGACAAAAAACUUGCUUAGAAAUGGGUUGUUUAUCCUACCUUUGGAGCUAAUUUGGAACUCAUGUGUGAAGACAAGUGGUUUUGGGUGUUGAACUUGAAACUUCCGAAAACCUGACGAAAUCUUCAUUUUGGAGUGACUAAGAAGGAUCCACGCCUGGUUUUCAUUUUCAUGUUUGAAAUUUGUAUAAAUGUUGGUCAAACUUAGGUUUGACCAAGUUUUUAAUGAGCAUAAAAAAUUCAAAAAAAUCAAAAAAUUGGAAAACCAGUGCACAUGUUCUUACUUUGUCAUAUACUAACAACUCAAAUUGAUUUGGCUGUUUUAGACAUGGUGGACAAAAAACUUGCUUAGAAAUGGGUUGUUUACCGUACCUUUGGAGCUAAUUGGAAAUUCAUGUGUGAAGACAAGUGGUUUUGGGCGUUGAACUUGAAACUUUCAAAAACCUCACAAAAGCUUCAUUUUGGAGUGACUAAGAAGGAUCGAGGCUUGGUUUUCAUUUUCAUGUUUGAAACUUGUUGAAAUGUUGGUCAAACUUAGGUUUGACCCAGUUUGAAAUGAGCAUACAAAAUUCAAAAAACACAAAAAAUUGGAAACCGAGUGCACAUGUUCUUACUUUGUCAUAUACUGACAACUCAAAUUGAUUUGGCUGUUUUAGACAUGGUGGACAAAAAAACUUGCUUAGAAAUGGGUUGUUUGAAAACCAUACAACCUUGUUGGUGAUAGUCAAGUUUGUGAAGGCUUUUUCAUGAAAAACUCCAUAGUCCAAGUUUCUUAUUUUUUCUAUCGAGUUAGUUCAUAGAACGAUGAUUGGCACAAGUUUUCUAUUUUUUGAUUUUUUUUAAUUAGUUAUGCUCGACCCUAACCCUUGAAAACCCUACAACCUCGCUCAUGAUAGCCAAGUUUGUGAAGUCUUUUUCAAGAAAAACUCCAUAGUCCAAGUGUAUUAUUUUUCCUAUCGAGUUAGUCACAUAGAACGAUGAUUGGCACAAGUUUUAUUUAUUUAUUUUUUGAAUUAAUUAUGCUCAACCCUAACCCUUGAAAACCUCUCAAAACCCCAUCAAAACCCCGCACCUGUCCGGACCAUUGGAUCACCGUGAAUGGACGGUCUGGAUUAGGCAGUAGGGCUACGUCAACGAUCCAAGGGUUGUGCUUUCAUUGGCUGGUCUUUUUAGCUCCUUUCUUUUGGCAGCAUUCUGAAGCAUGGGUCCACACAGAUUGAGGAGGCGUGCCCCGCGUUUUUGAGCUUAAUUUAAUCUGGCCCACCCCUUGGACCGUCUCUUUCUUUCUCUGCAAAAACGAGGAGCCCGGCCGGCCCAGCUCCACCUAAACGUUACGCUCCUCCCCCUCGAUUAACUGAAGAAUUGAUGGGCAUGGUUUCAGACAUGAUGGAUGCCACGAGGGCAACGUGGAAGGAGGAUCUGAUUCAUUUGGUUUUCCUACCGGCUGACGGUGAUACAAUUCUAGCAAUUCCAUUGUGCACGAUACCGAUAGUUGAUUUCUAGGCAUGGUUGUUCGAAAGAACUGACCUCUUCUUGGAUAGUUCAACAUACAAAAUGGUGAUCAAUACUAGGGAGAAUAGUGUGAAUGGAAAUGUUGGUUCAGCUGGGGCUCACGGGACUCUAGAAGGGAUGGAGGGGCCUUCCUCGCAGUCACAUACUAUACAUCGGAUGGGGGGUGGAGGGGCCCUCCGGAUUCUUACCUGAAGAUCAAUGUAGAGAUUGUUGUAUCACACGACUGCACACAGGGAGUGGCAGCCGCUAUAUGUCGUGACCGCGAUGGUUUUUUCUAAGGAGCUUCAGCGAUGGUUUUCAAGGGUAUAGGGGAUGCACCUACACUCGAAACUCUGGCGAUUCGGGAGGCUUUUUCCCUAGCAAAUGAUCUAUACAUUCAGCAUAUACAUAUUGCUUCGGAUUGCAAGGUGGUGGUUGACGAUAUCAAGGACAAGCAGCCUACAACAUACAAUGCUAUUUUACAUGAAAUUUUAGAACACAAAUCGUCUUUUCAAGCAUGCAAUGUAGUGCAUGAAUAUAUGAGCCCAAAUGUCGAGGCUCACAAUUUAGGGAAAUAUGUUUUGAGGUUAGGGGAAGGCCGACAUGUAUGGCUAGGCACCCCGGGAGAUUUAUCAUUUGUACCUUUGAACGUUGAUCAAUAAAGUUUCGCGAGAUUGACUAAAAAACUGAAGAAUUGCUGCACUCUGUUAAUUGAAGAAUUGCUGCUUUUUAUGAAUUCAAUUGCUGCAUUUUAUUCGUCAGGGGAAGCAAAUAAUCAAUGGACUACCUAGAACUAUAACUGAGAAUAUCAUUACAAGAAUUCAGGCAGGUUUAGCUUCACACAAAUUCAAAUUGAGCUAACAAAUGAUCCAUGACUAACUGAAACUACUUGCUUGACGCACUAAGUGAAACUCUAACAAGUUCUAGCGAUUGAUGAACAUCAAGUAAAAGAAACCCGGGCCACACAAGAAACCCAUAGAAAUGACACAACAAUAAAAUGCUCCAGCCAUCAUACUUGCUAGCUGCUUCAAAUCGAUCAGCUGCUUUAGUUGCUUGUGGAUCAAUCUUUGCAAAUUCAAUCUCCCACUUCACAAUUGUAUCUCCCUCUAUGUCCUGCAUGCUACCAUCACCUAGCUUCUCCUUAGAAAGAAGAAAUUCCACAGUGAAUUCGAACGUCCGAGCACCACCACCCUUGUUUGCCAAUGACGGGGCAGUGUGAGGUGAGCUAGCAGAAGCAGACGAGGCACAAAUCGCAUAGGUUGGAAAGGAUGUUGUUGUCUCUCGCGGCUCCAUCGCGGUCACCUCUCCUCCCCCCCACCCAAACCUAGAUCAAAUCGACCAAAAACAGGCAAUGCGGUGAGAUCUAACUCGACACAGAGGAGAAGAGGACAGGGUUCCGGAUUCACUCGCCACAGCCGACGCCGUCACCGAGAAUGAAAGCCCCGUCGUUGCUGUCAUCGAGAACAAAAGCUCUGCCGCCGCCGGCGGCGACUCACCGCCAGAAACGAAGAGGAGGGAGCAACACAGGUUCAGACAGGGGUACCCGUUCGGACAGGCACGGGGACACGUUUCACCUGGUGCAGUGACAAGUGGGGCCCAUAACUAGAUGCACUGCCGAGUAGGGACCGUGCUUACGUGGAUAAGUCGUGGGUCCAGCCCCUAACAGCUAAUUAGGGCAUCAGUUCAUAUUAAGGGCCAUGUCGUGUCUGGGCUAUUUCCUUGCUUAAAAUUGUCGCACCAAGGCAAUUUGAAGGAAAGACGUCUCACUCCUAAUUUACCUCAAAGGUGUCGCACCUGAGCUAUUGACCCUGCAUCACCAUGGCUGCAUUGGAGAAUUUUACUUCUUCGCCCUCUACACCAACUAAUAAUGCACAGAGGAUAUCUAGUCUUGGUUAUGCAUCGAGCCUAGUCCUUAAUAUAUACGUGAGUAUCACAAAAGACUGGUCCUCAAAAAUAAAUAGAAAUCUAUAUUCGUUUUGGAAGAAUUUAACCCUAGGUCUUCAUUCUCUCACCAGGUUGAAUUAGACUCACUUCCUACAACCUUUUGAAGCACUAUCCGUCGUGUCUGUCUAGCAACUAGUACAACCUAGAACAAAAAGGACACCACUUUCUGCUCUCAUAAUGCAAAAAUUCUAUACAACGGAAUUCAGCCCACUGAUCAAUAUUAUCUUAUCACCGACUUAAACUAGUAUACUAAGUAUCUGCUAUUAACAACAGCCGACGAAACCAUUCGAUACCACAAACUCUGCCGCUCCAUGACAUGGAAGGUGUGAGGUGACAUGCCAAGAGGACUAAACAAGCCACAACAAUUUCAUAGACCAACUAUUAUAGAACUAAUAAAGUACCAUCACUGGGCCACUAAUCAGUAAACCAAACCCUGCCCCUAUCAUCAUCCACUAAUCACCAAGUGGCAGCAAGCAAAGAAAAAAUAAACACAUUAUCAACACCACACACACAAUGCAGAGAAGCCAUGAUUGACCUCCGCUAUAAAAAGCACUCCAAAGCCACUCCCUUUCCUCAUCUCUCUCUCGCUCACCUAUACAUCAUCAUCUCCUCUGCCUAACAAGCUAAGCAGCUCAGCUCAAGCAUCGGCAAUGGAGGGCAAGGAGGAGGACGUGCGUCUGGGCGCGAACCGGUACUCGGAGCGGCAGCCGAUUGGGACGGCGGCGCAGGGCGGCGGCGCGGACGAGAAGGACUACAAGGAGCCGCCGCCGGCACCGCUGUUCGAGGCGGAGGAGCUGACGUCGUGGUCCUUCUACCGCGCGGGGAUCGCCGAGUUCCUGGCCACCUUCCUGUUCCUGUACAUCAGCGUGCUCACGGUGAUGGGCGUGGUGGGCAACCCCUCCGGCUCCAAGUGCGGCACCGUGGGCAUCCAGGGCAUCGCCUGGAGCUUCGGGGGCAUGAUCUUCGUGCUCGUCUACUGCACCGCCGGCAUCUCCGGCGGCCACAUCAACCCCGCCGUCACCUUCGGGCUGUUCCUGGCCAGGAAGCUGUCGCUCACCCGGGCCGUGUUCUACAUGGUGAUGCAGUGCCUGGGAGCCAUCUGCGGCGCCGGGGUGGUGAAGGGGUUCCAGACCACGCUGUACAUGGGCAACGGCGGCGGCGCCAACUCGGUGGCGCCGGGGUACACCAAAGGCGACGGCCUGGGGGCGGAGAUCGUGGGGACCUUUGUGCUCGUGUACACCGUCUUCUCCGCCACCGACGCCAAGCGCAGCGCCAGAGACUCCCACGUCCCC